CCUACGGGAGGCAGCAGUGAGGAAUAUUGGUCAAUGGACGAGAGUCUGAACCAGCCAAGUAGCGUGAAGGAUGACUGCCCUAUGGGUUGUAAACUUCUUUUAUAAAGGAAUAAAACGAGGCACGUGUGCCUCUUUGCAUGUACUUUAUGAAUAAGGAUCGGCUAACUCCGUGCCAGCAGCCGCGGUAAUACGGAGGAUCCGAGCGUUAUCCGGAUUUAUUGGGUUUAAAGGCAGCGUAGAUGGGUUGUUAAGUCAGUUGUGAAAGUUUGCGGCUUAACCGUAAAAUUGCAAUUGAUACUGGCAGUCUUGAGUACAGUUGAGGUAGGCGGAAUUCGUGGUGUAGCGGUGAAAUGCUUAGAUAUCACGAAGAACCCCGAUUGCGAAGGCAGCUUACUAAACUGUGACUGACAUUGAUGCUCGAAAGCGUGGGGAGCAAACGGGAUUAGAUACCCCUGUAGUC
RNAcentral lists this ribosomal RNA (460 nucleotides) under uncultured bacterium. RNAcentral describes it as "partial 16S ribosomal RNA". It matches the Rfam family "Bacterial small subunit ribosomal RNA", at positions 338 to 795 of the family's 1533-position model. The record is from RNAcentral.